GGGAACUGUUGAGUCACGGCCUGAACCACUGAUUGAACACCUGGGGAAAGGACCAGUCAGCCCUGGGAGCACAGGUGAGGGCAAUUCAGCUGUGUCACUGGAAGGGGUGGAGACAGGCUUCACCUCUCUUAGACCCUAUUUAAGGGCUUACGGUGACUGGGGAGAGAUCUUUUUUUGGAGAUCCCUCCUUGUUGGAUCUUUUCCUUGUGAACCUAGAAUUGUCUGAUACAGAGAGAGAGAGAGAGUUUUGUUUUCCCUCCUAAACAUCUGAGUACAGUAAAAUGAUCACAUACCUUUUGUAUGAAAACGAUGCUGAAAUGCAUCUGGAAACCAAAGACUGGAAUGGGCCAGGCUUGCCUUGUGUCAGCAUGAGUGGCUGAGGACAAGAGUGUAGCUCACAAGUUGAAUCUCUCUGAUUACAUGUAAAUCCUUUGCGCUGUCAUCAAAAAUCAGGAUGUAUUUUCUACAGAACAUCUAAUGGCCAAUGGAAGGAAUCUUUCCACUGACUUGAGGCUGCUUUGUGUCAAACUGUAACUCACUUAGUAGAACAAGCAAUACAAACAGAUGAAUGAAUGAGUGAAUUUGCAUAUCUCCUUAACCUUCUGAAAUGAGAUAGCAGCAAAUGGUCGUACUCAGUUGAUAACUUCCUCUCAGGUGCGGUACUGCCCUGAUGUCUUCACAGAGAGGUGAAAAUGUUUGAUGCAAGGGUAGAUGUUGAAUGUGCCCCAUUCAUGAGGUAGCUGAAGAAGAAAGAACCUGACUGCAGGCACGAUUACAUUCCAUUGAAUGCUAUCAAGGUUCUGAUACAAUGUCAGCAAAGGCCAAUGUAAGAGCAACGUGAUGGAAGGCACGGAGCAAUACCCCCUGUAUAAAGAUAUAGGAUGCCAGAGUCCCACAUGUGGCUUGGCUGCAUACAUGCUAUGUAUGACUUGGGGGAAAGACUGAAUUAAUUCAUCAUUUUGCAUAAGCAUGGAAGAGACCAUCACUAAAAAAGCUUAGAGGAAAGAGAACUAGAAUGAAAGGACAAAAUCAUUUAAAUCAUUUGGGCUCAUCUUCAUAAAAAGAGUACCUGGUAAAUUAACACGGAGCUAUCCCUGACACUGAACAUAAAUGGAAUUCAAUCAGGUUCCAACUUUAAACAGGAGGACUGAGGAGACUUCUUAAAUGAGACAGCCGGAGCCUUUUUACAACAUGUUGUGUUGGUGACUGGAUAGUUCUGGGGACUAAUGAGGAGAUAUAAAAUCACAGUGAAGUUGGUGACCAUUUCUAAUCCAAAGCAAGUGAAGAAAGUGAAUGGUGCCCUGCCUUAGCUUCCUUUAUGUGCUUCCAGUUUUCUGAAAUCAGCCAUGUCUUCUGCAGAUAGGACUGUAACAGCUUGAUGGAUACCUCAGGAUCAGUUUAUACACGAGAAGUUUUCUUCAACAGCUUUCCAGCCCUGAGCAGCACUGGACCAAGCCGUGGUGUUGGUUCUCCAGAGCAGCAGCAGCAGCAGCCCUAGCAGCCAUCCCUUCUCUGAGCGUGGAAGUCUGUGUUUCCUGAAUCAACACACUCAGCACUUGGCUUUUUCUUCCCGCUAUUACUCAGAUCACAGCCCUGAUCACAUCGUGCACUACACACAUCGCUUAUGCUGCUGGCAGUUGGAGUAGAGGAAUGAAAAUUAACCAGCGUUUCUCAAAAACAGUGGUUUGAUCAAAAAACAAGGUAUGUUUUAACUUAGUACAAAAGAAGAUCAUCUGAGGAGUAAGGUGCCUGAUGGGGAAGAAGAGAUGCUUGUGUCCAGUUUCCAUGAUCCUGCUGACACUGGAGAUACCUGCUGUACAGGCUUUUUUACCUCACCUUGUUUGGUAUGUCCAAGCUCCCCAUUCCAUGACAGAGCCAAGCAGCUUCAGCCAGGCAUGAGGACCUUCGUACAUGAAAAGCAGUGAAGAGCCAUAUCCCUAAAGCAUGCAACUCUUGUAUAUGACAAAAGAUAAUGGGUGGAUACCAAGAAUUGAAGGUAACAGAAAGAAAGAGAGGACAUAUUUCCACAGCUUGGCAAAAGCAGUCUCCAAAGUCCUCAAACAGCUGUGGAAAAAUAGUGAAAGGAGAGCAAAUAGCCUGUUUGUCCUCUAUCUCAUGGACACAGUGCCUUGUGAGCCCUGGAGGGUAUCUGCUCAUAUCCAAGCUGUGAAAGCAGUUGCUGUGCCUGCCACAUCACAGCUUCAUAGACACACCAAUGCUUGCAGUACAGUCAAAAUAUGCUUUAAAGCCCAUUUCAGCAGCAAGCUCUCUGGAUUCUGUGCCAGGAAAUGUUAAUUACUGUGGUGCAGUGUUCUGUUUUCUGUGGUGCAAUAACAAUUAAUUUACACCAUUUGGAAAAACACUUUUUUAUUAAAAAUCAAUAGAAGCAAAUCAAUGCAAUGUAAAGCAUACAAUACCAAAAUGAAAAGCUCUUGUUUUUAUACUUGGGCAUCCUUAAUAAAAUUGCACUGUAGAUUCAGGCAGUUUGUCUAUUGUAAUCUAAUGAGAAGCUGUCAAGCUUCUUUUAAGCGUUCUGGAAAUUACCAUGUAUUGGGGCAGCCAUUUUUAGUCAAAGAAUUCAAUAAUUAACCCCCAAGUUGUAAGUCAAUAUGAUGAUGGUGCAGGUGCCGCUGCAUUUGUCUCUCUGCACUGCAUCACCUAUGCACCUGACAAUCUGUGGGACCCAUUUUGAAUCGAGAUGGAGGUUAAUUUUUAUUUAUAGUUAUAAUUAGAAAAACACUAGCUGUAAUGAAAACUGCUCCACCGCUGGAACAUAUCACCACAGAGUAAAUUCCACAGCAAUUUUUGCAUUUUAAUAGGUCAGAGAGUAACACAAAUGAAUUGCUUCUUCCUGGGGGAACUUGUUUAUUCUUUGGAAUUUAAUGAUUUACUGGAACACUGAUCUCAAAGAAAAAAAUCCCACAGUUGUUUUUCUACCAUUGCCUCAACUGCACAAGGUGCUGCAGACCCUGGGAAGGCAGCUCACACCUGUAAUUGUACAGCUCCUGAGGCUCCCCUGCACAAGGUACUGGGGCCUACCUGCCAGCUCCUCAGCACCCUGCUGCACAUGGCACAGGAGCUCAGGGACUUCUCCAGGAUGAUACAGCUCCACCACAGAAGUGCUCCCUCAGCCCACAGCAGGAUGCAUCCAGCUGCUACAGUAAGGAAUGCUUUACCCUUUAGGCACAAGCUGCUGUUCCCCUCCCCAUGGUCCACCGCCAUGGUCUGCACAUUUAUGAGUGCAGCCACAACUACAGCUGGUCUUCUCUGACUCAACCAGAGCAGGAAGAAGCAGGACAAUUUUAAUCCAAUGGAAGCACUCAUGGAAGCAGCCAAGGACAUAUCACUCUGGAAGGGCAGAUCAUCAUUUCCUUUCUCCAGACAGGACUACUAUGGGUUUGAGUUUGACUAUUUUAACGGUGAAUUGAUUUUUUGUGUGAAGUGAUCUAGGUAUGACAGUAGAUUUUUCAAAGUCAUUCGGUAGCUCAUGACAGUGGGCUGGGAGGACAGGUGUCAUCAAAUAAAAAGGUAUGAACUGGACUAAUUUAAAAGGAACGCAGAGGUUGUACAGAACUGCCAGAAACUCCAUCGCUUUGGUACAGCGAUGCAAGGAAAAUAGAAACAGUAACAAAAGAAGACUUUGAAAUUCAAAGUUUUACAAAACAGGAUAUUUGAUUUGGAUUGUAUCUAGAAAUUGCAAAAGCUUGGCAAAGCAUCACUGAGGUACUGCAAAAUAUUUGUAAUCUGCAUAAUCUUUAUAUGCCACAGUCUUUCCCUCUACUGUGGGAGCUGUGAUGUAACCAUGAAUUUGUUAUUGGGGUGGCUGACACUAAUGUUCUUACAUAUUAAAAAAAAAAAAAAAA
Molecule: long non-coding RNA, 3863 nt
Filed under: Gallus gallus (chicken)
Lineage: Eukaryota; Metazoa; Chordata; Aves; Galliformes; Phasianidae
Source: RNAcentral